ACCAGGUGGUCAGUUGGUGAGGGCCACAGCAUAGUCCUUUAGUCUCUAUGGACCAGGUGGCCAGUUGGUGAGGGCCACAGCAUAGUCCUUUAGUCUCUAUGGACCAGGUGGCCAGUUGGUGAGGGCCACAGCAUAGUCCUUUAGUCUCUAUGGACCAGGUGGCCAGUUGGUGAGGGCCACAGCAUGGUCCUUUAGUCUCUAUGGACCAGGUGGUCAGUUGGUGAGGGCCACAGCAUAGUCCUUUAGUCUCUAUGGACCAGGUGGCCAGUUGGUGAGAGCCACAGCAUGGUCCUUUGGUCUCUAUGGACCAGGUGGCCAGUUGGUGAGAGCCACAGCAUAGUCCUUUAGUCUCUAUGGGCCAGGUGGUCAUUGGUGAGGGCCACAGCAUAGUCCUUUAGUCUCUAUGGACCAGAUGACCAGUUGGUGAGGGCCACAGCAUAGUCCUUUAGUCUAUAUGGACCAGGUGGCCAGUUGGUGAGGGCCACAGCAUAGUCCUUUAGUCUCUAUGGGCCAGGUGCCAGUUGGUGAGGGCCACAGCAUAGUCCUUUAGUCUCUAUGGGGCAGAUGGUCAGUUGGUGAGGGCCACAGCAUAGUCCUUUAGUCUCUAUGGGCCAGGUGCCAGUUGGUGAGGGCCACAACAUGGGGAAAGAAACUGUUCAUAUGGGGGUCUAUAACAUCUAAUCACAGCAUCUGACAGUUGCAACUUCAUUGCUAAUAACUGCCUUAUUUAUAUAAAGACAUCAUCUCUGUACAGAUGUAAGAUCUGAAUUUGAUCAACCUGUCACAGGAAAACUAAAAUGUGUACUAUAUUUGAGUGUAUUUAAAUAAAGCUUUAAAAAAGGUUUCUGAAGAUGAUAAAUUACACUUUUCCAUUUUAAAAUGGUUCAUUAAUUA
This is a long non-coding RNA of Oncorhynchus tshawytscha (Chinook salmon), 894 nucleotides long. Lineage: Eukaryota; Metazoa; Chordata; Actinopteri; Salmoniformes; Salmonidae. The record is from Ensembl.